CCGCUAGGCGUUCUUCCUCGCUGAAAGUGCUUUACAACCCGAGAGCCUUCUUCACACACGCGGCAUGGCUGGAUCAGGGUUUCCCCCAUUGUCCAAUAUUCCC
This 103-nucleotide ribosomal RNA is filed under the name uncultured bacterium. RNAcentral's name for it is "partial 16S ribosomal RNA". The record is from RNAcentral.